Molecule: transfer RNA, 86 nt
Filed under: Amborella trichopoda
Lineage: Eukaryota; Viridiplantae; Streptophyta; Magnoliopsida; Amborellales; Amborellaceae
Description: tRNA AMTR_s00072t00278000
Source: RNAcentral
UAACUUGUGGGGUAGGAUAUUUGAUCCCUUCAUUUCAUAGAUGGAGCAUCAACAUUAUGGAAGGUGCUAAAACCUUUAUGCGUCAU